CGCCAUAUCACGUUGAAACACCGGAUCUCGUGCGAUCACCGAAGUUAAGCAACAUCGGACAUGGUCAGUACCUAGAUAGGUAACCGCUCUGGAAUACCAGGUGCU
This is a non-coding RNA of Acanthosepion pharaonis, 105 nucleotides long. Lineage: Eukaryota; Metazoa; Mollusca; Cephalopoda; Sepiida; Sepiidae. The record is from the annotation of a GenBank genome assembly.